Molecule: transfer-messenger RNA, 341 nt
Filed under: Oceanobacillus limi
Lineage: Bacteria; Bacillati; Bacillota; Bacilli; Caryophanales; Bacillaceae
Description: Ornithinibacillus sp. H9B(2010) transfer-messenger RNA
Rfam family: transfer-messenger RNA
About the family: Bacterial tmRNA, also known as 10Sa RNA or SsrA, is named for its dual tRNA and mRNA-like properties. Its role is to liberate the mRNA from a stalled ribosome.
Source: Rfam by way of RNAcentral
UACGGAUUCGACAGGGGUAGAUCGAGCUCAGGUUGCGCGUCGAGGUUACGGCUCGUAAAACGUUACUCGCCUAAAUAUAACUGGCAAAGAAAACAAUUUAUCUUUAGCAGCUGCGUAAGCACUGUCUAAAGGAUCCUACCUGCUAUCGCCCAUGUAGCAGAUUGUAGGGUCUCAACUUAUAGUGGGCUAUACGGUCAUCCACCGUCUGAGGAUGGGCGUUGAAAUGAAUCAGACUAGCUACUUGGAAGCCUGUUGGUAGGCUGAAAAGUAAGCGAAUGAUAAUAUACCAACUACACGUGUAGAAGCCUGAGUGGCGAUAUCUCUGGACGUGGGUUCGAUUA